GGGAAAAUAAAGUGGGAUAGUCACUUUCCACUGUUUGGAAACAUAUAGGAAAAUAAAAGGGGAAGAAAAUAAGGUAGACUAUACACCUGGUUCCUUUCUCUGCAAAUUGGAGAGAACAAUGUGCGGAAAUCCUGAAAUGACAUAUAUGCCAUUGUACAUUAUGAAAUAAAUAUUGCAUUGUUCUUUCUGCCUGAUGCUUGUCCUUUCUCUAGUAAAUCCCAUGCACUGCUUU
This 232-nucleotide unclassified non-coding RNA is filed under the name Hevea brasiliensis (rubber tree). Lineage: Eukaryota; Viridiplantae; Streptophyta; Magnoliopsida; Malpighiales; Euphorbiaceae. The record is from RNAcentral.